GGACUACCCGGGUAUCUAAUCCCGUUCGCUCCCCUGGCUUUCGCACCUCAGCGUCAGUCACUCGCCAGGACACUGCCUUCGCCUUCGGUGUUCCUCCGGAUCUCUACGCAUUUCACCACUCCACCCGGAAUUCCGUGUCCCUCUCGAGUCCUCAAGUCCGACCGUCUUUCGCAUGCUCGGGUAGUUGAGCCACCCGCUGUCACACAAAACGCGUCCGACCGCCUGCAUGCCCUUUACGCCCAGUAACUCCGGACAACGCUCGCCCCCUACGUAUUACCGCGGCGGCUGGCAC
Molecule: ribosomal RNA, 292 nt
Filed under: uncultured bacterium
Lineage: Bacteria
Description: partial 16S ribosomal RNA
Source: RNAcentral